Molecule: ribosomal RNA, 343 nt
Filed under: Boophis majori
Lineage: Eukaryota; Metazoa; Chordata; Amphibia; Anura; Mantellidae
Description: partial 16S ribosomal RNA
Rfam family: Bacterial large subunit ribosomal RNA
Source: RNAcentral
ACCCCAUGGAGCUUUAAACCCAACAGCACCUAUUCUUUUUAAGCCCACCCAUUCAUAUAGUAAAUGCUUGUUUGGUUUUAGGUUGGGGUGACCGCGGAGUAAAAAUUAACCUCCACGAAAAAAGGCAUAAAAGCCUUAUCAAAGAAUUACACUUCUAUGAAUUAGUAAACUAAUUUUUGAUGAUCCGAUAUUCGAUCAACGAACCAAGUUACCCUGGGGAUAACAGCGCAAUCCACCUCAAGAGCUCCUAUCGACAAGUGGGUUUACGACCUCGAUGUUGGAUCAGGGUACCCCAGUGGUGCAGCAGCUACUAAAGGUUCGUUUGUUCAACGAUUAAAACCCU